RNAcentral lists this ribosomal RNA (464 nucleotides) under uncultured bacterium. RNAcentral describes it as "partial 16S ribosomal RNA". It matches the Rfam family "Bacterial small subunit ribosomal RNA", at positions 339 to 795 of the family's 1533-position model. The record is from RNAcentral.
CUACGGGUGGCUGCAGUGGGGAAUUUUGGACAAUGGGGGCAACCCUGAUCCAGCCAUGCCGCGUGAGUGAAGAAGGCCUUCGGGUUGUAAAGCUCUUUCAGCCGGGAAGAAAUCGUACAGGCUAAUACCCUGUGCGGAUGACGGUACCGGAAUAAGAAGCACCGGCUAACUACGUGCCAGCAGCCGCGGUAAUACGUAGGGGGCGAGCGUUAAUCGGAAUUACUGGGCGUAAAGCGUGCGCAGGCGGUUUUGUAAGACAGGCGUGAAAUCCCCGGGCUUAACCUGGGAACUGCGUUUGUGACUGCAAGGCUAGAGUACGGCAGAGGGGGGUGGAAUUCCACGUGUAGCAGUGAAAUGCGUAGAGAUGUGGAGGAACACCAAUGGCGAAGGCAGCCCCCUGGGUCGAUACUGACGCUCAUGCACGAAAGCGUGGGUAGCAAACAGGAUUAGAUACCCCCGUAGUC